AGCCCAGAGCCUGAAUCAGUGUGUGUGUUAGUGGAAGCGUCUGGAAAGGCGCGCGAUACAGGGUGACAGCCCCGUACACAAAAAUGCACAUGCUGUGAGCUCGAUGAGUAGGGCGGGACACGUGGUAUCCUGUCUGAAUAUGGGGGGACCAUCCUCCAAGGCUAAAUACUCCUGACUGACCGAUAGUGAACCAGUACCGUGAGGGAAAGGCGAAAAGAACCCCGGCGAGGGGAGUGAAAAAGAACCUGAAACCGUGUACGUACAAGCAGUGGGAGCACGCUUAGGCGUGUGACUGCGUACCUUUUGUAUAAUGGGUCAGCGACUUAUAUUCUGUAGCAAGGUUAACCGAAUAGGGGAGCCGAAGGGAAACCGAGUCUUAACUGGGCGUUAAGUUGCAGGGUAUAGACCCGAAACCCGGUGAUCUAGCCAUGGGCAGGUUGAAGGUUGGGUAACACUAACUGGAGGACCGAACCGACUAAUGUUGAAAAAUUAGCGGAUGACUUGUGGCUGGGGGUGAAAGGCCAAUCAAACCGGGAGAUAGCUGGUUCUCCCCGAAAGCUAUUUAGGUAGCGCCUCGUGAAUUCAUCUCCGGGGGUAGAGCACUGUUUCGGCAAGGGGGUCAUCCCGACUUACCAACCCGAUGCAAACUGCGAAUACCGGAGAAUGUUAUCACGGGAGACACACGGCGGGUGCUAACGUCCGUCGUGAAGAGGGAAACAACCCAGACCGCCAGCUAAGGUCCCAAAGUCAUGGUUAAGUGGGAAACGAUGUGGGAAGGCCCAGACAGCCAGGAUGUUGGCUUAGAAGCAGCCAUCAUUUAAAGAAAGCGUAAUAGCUCACUGGUCGAGUCGGCCUGCGCGGAAGAUGUAACGGGGCUAAACCAUGCACCGAAGCUGCGGCAGCGACGCUUAUGCGUUGUUGGGUAGGGGAGCGUUCUGUAAGCCUGUGAAGGUGUACUGUGAGGUAUGCUGGAGGUAUCAGAAGUGCGAAUGCUGACAUAAGUAACGAUAAAGCGGGUGAAAAGCCCGCUCGCCGGAAGACCAAGGGUUCCUGUCCAACGUUAAUCGGGGCAGGGUGAGUCGACCCCUAAGGCGAGGCCGAAAGGCGUAGUCGAUGGGAAACAGGUUAAUAUUCCUGUACUUGGUGUUACUGCGAAGGGGGGACGGAGAAGGCUAUGUUGGCCGGGCGACGGUUGUCCCGGUUUAAGCGUGUAGGCUGGUUUUCCAGGCAAAUCCGGAAAAUCAAGGCUGAGGCGUGAUGACGAGGCACUACGGUGCUGAAGCAACAAAUGCCCUGCUUCCAGGAAAAGCCUCUAAGCAUCAGGUAACAUCAAAUCGUACCCCAAACCGACACAGGUGGUCAGGUAGAGAAUACCAAGGCGCUUGAGAGAACUCGGGUGAAGGAACUAGGCAAAAUGGUGCCGUAACUUCGGGAGAAGGCACGCUGAUAUGUAGGUGAAGUCCCUCGCGGAUGGAGCUGAAAUCAGUCGAAGAUACCAGCUGGCUGCAACUGUUUAUUAAAAACACAGCACUGUGCAAACACGAAAGUGGACGUAUACGGUGUGACGCCUGCCCGGUGCCGGAAGGUUAAUUGAUGGGGUUAGCGCUAACGCGAAGCUCUUGAUCGAAGCCCCGGUAAACGGCGGCCGUAACUAUAACGGUCCUAAGGUAGCGAAAUUCCUUGUCGGGUAAGUUCCGACCUGCACGAAUGGCGUAAUGAUGGCCAGGCUGUCUCCACCCGAGACUCAGUGAAAUUGAACUCGCUGUGAAGAUGCAGUGUACCCGCGGCAAGACGGAAAGACCCCGUGAACCUUUACUAUAGCUUGACACUGAACAUUGAGCCUUGAUGUGUAGGAUAGGUGGGAGGCUUUGAAGUGUGGACGCCAGUCUGCAUGGAGCCGACCUUGAAAUACCACCCUUUAAUGUUUGAUGUUCUAACGUGGACCCGUGAUCCGGGUUGCGGACAGUGUCUGGUGGGUAGUUUGACUGGGGCGGUCUCCUCCUAAAGAGUAACGGAGGAGCACGAAGGUUGGCUAAUCCUGGUCGGACAUCAGGAGGUUAGUGCAAUGGCAUAAGCCAGCUUGACUGCGAGCGUGACGGCGCGAGCAGGUGCGAAAGCAGGUCAUAGUGAUCCGGUGGUUCUGAAUGGAAGGGCCAUCGCUCAACGGAUAAAAGGUACUCCGGGGAUAACAGGCUGAUACCGCCCAAGAGUUCAUAUCGACGGCGGUGUUUGGCACCUCGAUGUCGGCUCAUCACAUCCUGGGGCUGAAGUAGGUCCCAAGGGUAUGGCUGUUCGCCAUUUAAAGUGGUACGCGAGCUGGGUUUAGAACGUCGUGAGACAGUUCGGUCCCUAUCUGCCGUGGGCGCUGGAGAACUGAGGGGGGCUGCUCCUAGUACGAGAGGACCGGAGUGGACGCAUCACUGGUGUUCGGGUUGUCAUGCCAAUGGCACUGCCCGGUAGCUAAAUGCGGAAGAGAUAAGUGCUGAAAGCAUCUAAGCACGAAACUUGCCCCGAGAUGAGUUCUCCCUGACUCCUUGAGAGUCCUGAAGGAACGUUGAAGACGACGACGUUGAUAGGCCGGGUGUGUAAGCGCAGCGAUGCGUUGAGCUAACCGGUACUAAUGAACCGUGAGGCUUAACCUUACAACGCCGAAG
This 2654-nucleotide ribosomal RNA is filed under the name Escherichia coli. RNAcentral describes it as "bacterial LSU rRNA". It matches the Rfam family "Bacterial large subunit ribosomal RNA", at positions 296 to 2925 of the family's 2925-position model. Lineage: Bacteria; Pseudomonadati; Pseudomonadota; Gammaproteobacteria; Enterobacterales; Enterobacteriaceae. The record is from RNAcentral.